UACGAAGGGGGCUAGCGUUGCUCGGAAUCACUGGGCGUAAAGCGCACGUAGGCGGCUUCUUAAGUCAGGGGUGAAAUCCUGGAGCUCAACUCCAGAACUGCCUUUGAUACUGGGGAGCUAGAGUCCGGGAGAGGUGAGUGGAACUGCGAGUGUAGAGGUGAAAUUCGUAGAUAUUCGCAAGAACACCAGUGGCGAAGGCGGCUCACUGGCCCGGUACUGACGCUGAGGUGCGAAGGCGUGGGGAGCGAACGGG
RNAcentral lists this ribosomal RNA (253 nucleotides) under uncultured bacterium. Its description in RNAcentral is "partial 16S ribosomal RNA". It matches the Rfam family "Bacterial small subunit ribosomal RNA", at positions 524 to 776 of the family's 1533-position model. The record is from RNAcentral.